Molecule: ribosomal RNA, 437 nt
Filed under: uncultured Oscillospiraceae bacterium
Lineage: Bacteria; Bacillati; Bacillota; Clostridia; Eubacteriales; Oscillospiraceae
Also listed under: 1 other name
Description: bacterial SSU rRNA
Rfam family: Bacterial small subunit ribosomal RNA
Source: RNAcentral
ACGGAAGGCAGCAGUGGGGAAUAUUGGGCAAUGGGCGAAAGCCUGACCCAGCAACGCCGCGUGAAGGAAGAAGGCCUUCGGGUUGUAAACUUCUUUUACCAGGGACGAAGGACGUGACGGUACCUGGAGAAAAAGCAACGGCUAACUACGUGCCAGCAGCCGCGGUAAUACGUAGGUUGCAAGCGUUGUCCGGAUUUACUGGGUGUAAAGGGCGUGUAGGCGGAGCUGCAAGUCAGAUGUGAAAUCCCGGGGCUCAACCCCGGAACUGCAUUUGAAACUGACGUUCUUGAGUGUUGGAGAGGCUAACGGAACUCCUAGUGUAGCGGUGAAAUGCGUAGAUAUUAGGAAGAACACCAGUGGCGAAGGCGGUUAGCUGGACAAUAACUGACGCUGAGGCGCGAAAGCGUGGGUAGCAAACAGGAUUAGAUACCCUGGUA